RNAcentral lists this long non-coding RNA (1074 nucleotides) under Anas zonorhyncha (Eastern spot-billed duck). RNAcentral's name for it is "lncRNA (ENSAZOG00000006971.1)". Lineage: Eukaryota; Metazoa; Chordata; Aves; Anseriformes; Anatidae. The record is from RNAcentral.
AUGCAGCACGUAGGAUGCUGCCCCGCGGCCGUGCGAGCGUGUGCUUCUGCCCGGGCAACCCGGGAGGCUGCAGCUUCCCCGCGGCAUCAAGUUCACGGCAGGGUCGAGCCGUGGGUGUGCGGAUCCUGGCCACUGAGCUUUGCUGUCAGGUGGCCAAAACCGUGGAGCUGGUGGGUGAGAGGUUCUUGUGCCACUCAGGAAAUGUUUCUGGAGGAAAAAAGAGGGGAUGCUGAGGGAAGGGGGGCUGGGAGUGACCGGCUGCUGCCUGCCCGAGGCUGCCGGGGCUUCUCUUCCUGCUGUGGGGUUUGCUGUGGGAGCAAACGAGGCUGCUCUGGGGCAUCCCCCAGUCUGCUUUUCCCCAGCUCGGUGAUCCCCAGGCACUGGGCUGCUUGCAAAUACACCCCAUCCAAAGCCUGCCUUUGGGGCAGGAAUGUGGCACAAGGGGACCGGAAAAGUUUAGCGCUCAUUUUCACUCACCCUCAAACACCAUCUGAUCUAACCUCGCAGGAAAAUCCCCUUGCUGGGCAGGGAAACCCUCUGCGGAAGUGGAAACGGAGCAUUUGCGCUUGGAAAAUCACAAAGGAGCGAGGGAAGCUUGCACCGGCAAGACAUUUCCCAGAAGUGUGCUGCCGGCAGUGUUCUUUGCCCUGCGCAGCCUGACGAGCGUUCGGGUUGAUCCCGGCAUCUCCAGGAACGGCAGCGGGGCCAGGCUGGGGAUGCAGGAUCCGGCCCUGAGCCCCUGUGCGCACGUCGUGGCAGCAAGUCCUCGGUAACAAAGCCGCCGCACGGAAUAAAGGAACGAGGAUUCAGCUUUAAUUAUUAACGAUUAUUAAAGAUUUAUGCCUGAGAAGCAAAAGAGCUGCACGGGGAUGAUUUGGGGCUGCGUGAGCAUCGGUGUGUCGGCGGCUGGCUGCAUCCGUCGCGCUGGGACAGCGAGGAGGGGACACUGCAGCUUCCAAAACACAUCCGAGGCAGCGCUGCAGGGAUCGGUCCCGCUGCCACAGCACUGCCAGUGCUGGAGCCACGCAGGGGGAGCAGGGUCCUGUAAGGGGCAGGGGAGUCGGUGCCUGUGCU